GAUGAAGAACGUAGCGAAAUGCGAUAAGUAAUGUGAAUUGCAGAAUUCAGUGAAUCAUCGAAUCUUUGAACGCACCUUGCGCCCUUUGGUCAUUCCGAAGGGCAUGCCUGUUUGAGUAUCAUGAACACCUCAACUCUCAUGGCUCGCCAUGAUGAGCUUGGAUUUGGGGGUCUUGCUGGCCUGUGGUCGGCUCCUCUCAAAUGGAUCAGCUUGCCAGUGUUUGGUGGCAUCACAGGUGUGAUAACUAUCUGCGCUUGUGGUUUUCCAUCAGAUAACCUUCAGUGAUGGAGGUUCGCUGGAGCUCAUAAACGUCUCCCCUAAGCGGGGACAGCCCUUUGAAUGUUUGAUCUCAAAUCAGGUAGGACUACCCGCUGAACUUAAGCAUAUCAAUAAGCGGAGGA
This 401-nucleotide unclassified non-coding RNA is filed under the name soil metagenome. Its description in RNAcentral is "partial contains 5.8S ribosomal RNA, internal transcribed spacer 2, and large subunit ribosomal RNA". The stretch from base 1 to 121 matches the Rfam family "5.8S ribosomal RNA", at positions 35 to 154 of the family's 154-position model. The record is from RNAcentral.